This 473-nucleotide ribosomal RNA is filed under the name uncultured bacterium. Its description in RNAcentral is "bacterial SSU rRNA". It matches the Rfam family "Bacterial small subunit ribosomal RNA", at positions 8 to 526 of the family's 1533-position model. The record is from RNAcentral.
AGAGUUUGAUCAUGGCUCAGAACGUACGCUGGCGGCACGCCUAACACAUGCAAGUCGAACGAAGUAGCAAUACUUAGUGGCAAACGGGUGAGUAUAAUGUGGGAAUUUGCCCAUCAGUAUAGAAUAACACGAGGAAACUUGUGCUAAUACUAAAUACGCCUUUACAGGGAAAGCUUUAUGCGCUGAUGGAUAAGCCCGCACUUGAUUAGCUAGUUGGUAAGGUAAUGGCUUACCAAGGCAAUGAUCAAUAGCUGAUCUGAGAGGAUGAUCAGCCACAUUGGGACUGAGACACGGCCCAAACUCCUACGGGAGGCAGCAGUGGGGAAUCUUGCACAAUGGGGGCAACCCUGAUGCAGCGAUGCCGCGUGAGUGAAGAAGGCCUUUGGGUUGUAAAGCUCUUUCGUCGGGGAAGAAAAUGACUGUACCCGAAUAAGAAGGUCCGGCUAACUUCGUGCCAGCCGCCGCGGUAAUAC